Long non-coding RNA from Oncorhynchus gorbuscha (pink salmon), 259 nucleotides. RefSeq lists it as uncharacterized. The transcript has 3 exons. The record is from RefSeq and is a predicted model, not a curated record. Lineage: Eukaryota; Metazoa; Chordata; Actinopteri; Salmoniformes; Salmonidae.
GUUCUGAUAUUUGGCACGUUACUCAGUUUCACCCUGGGAUUAGAUGUGUAUAAGGUUCUGAUAUUUGGCACGUUACUCAGUUUCACCCUGGGAUUAGAUGUGUAUAAGGUUCUGAUAUUUGGCACGUUACUCAGUUUCACCCUGGGAUUAGAUGUGUAUAAGGUUCUGAUAUUUGGCACGUUACUCAGUUUCACCCUGGGAUUAGAUGUGUAUAAGGUUCUGAUAUUUGGCACGUUACUCAGUUUCACCCUGGGAUUAG